GGGGGGAGCACCGGAUCCUAGACUGUGUCCCCGGUGCCCUGUUCUCCCGGGCCUGUGCUGUUGGAUUAGCGCUCCCGGCCGCGCAGCCCCCU
This 92-nucleotide microRNA precursor is filed under the name Canis lupus familiaris (dog). Its description in RNAcentral is "mir-8799 microRNA precursor family". It matches the Rfam family "mir-8799 microRNA precursor family". RNAcentral also lists the same sequence under 1 other name. Lineage: Eukaryota; Metazoa; Chordata; Mammalia; Carnivora; Canidae. The record is from Rfam by way of RNAcentral.